UCUGGGUCCACCUCCCACCCGUGUUUAUUUUACCUUGUUGCUUCGGCGGGCCCGCCUUAACUGGCCGCCGGGGGGCUCACGCCCCCGGGCCCGCGCCCGCCGAAGACACCCUCGAACUCUGUCUGAAGAUUGUAGUCUGAGUGAAAAUAUGAAUUAUUUAAAACUUUCAACAACGGAUCUCUUGGUUCCGGCAUCGAUGAAGAACGCAGAUAAUUACCGAGUGAGGGCCUCUGGGUCCCCUCCCCCCGUGUUUAUUUUACCUUGUUGCUUCGGCGGGCCCGCCUUAACUGGCCGCCGGGGGGCUCACGCCCCCGGGCC
This 318-nucleotide unclassified non-coding RNA is filed under the name Penicillium chrysogenum. RNAcentral describes it as "sequence contains ITS1, 5.8S rRNA gene, ITS2, 28S rRNA gene". Lineage: Eukaryota; Fungi; Ascomycota; Eurotiomycetes; Eurotiales; Aspergillaceae. The record is from RNAcentral.